AGAGUUUGAUCCUGGCUCAGAACGAACGCUGGCGGCAGGCACUAACACAUGCAAGUCGAGCGCACCUUCGGGUGAGCGGCGGACGGGUUAGUAACGCGUGGGAAUAUGCCCUUCACUACGGAAUAGCCUCGGGAAACUGAGAGUAAUACCGUAUACGCCCUUCGGGGGAAAGAUUUAUCGGUGAAGGAUUAGCCCGCGUCUGAUUAGAUAGUUGGUGGGGUAACGGCCUACCAAGUCGACGAUCAGUAGCUGGUUUGAGAGGAUGAUCAGCAACACUGGGACUGAGACACGGCCCAGACUCCUACGGGAGGCAGCAGUGGGGAAUCUUAGACAAUGGGCGCAAGCCUGAUCUAGCCAUGCCGCGUGAGUGACGAAGGCCUUAGGGUCGUAAAGCUCUUUCGCCAGGGAUGAUAAUGACAGUACCUGGUAAAGAAACCCCGGCUAACUCCGUGCCAGCAGCCGCGGUAAUACGGAGGGGGUUAGCGUUGUUCGGAAUUACUGGGCGUAAAGCGCGCGUAGGCGGAUUGGAAAGUUGGGGGUGAAAUCCCGGGGCUCAACCCCGGAACUGCCUCCAAAACUAUCAGUCUAGAGUUCGAGAGUGGUGAGUGGAAUUCCGAGUGUAGAGGUGAAAUUCGUAGAUAUUCGGAGGAACACCAGUGGCGAAGGCGGCUCACUGGCUCGAUACUGACGCUGAGGUGCGAAAGUGUGGGGAGCAAACAGGAUUAGAUACCCUGGUAGUCCACACCGUAAACGAUGAAUGCCAGACGUCAGGGGGUUUUACCCUUUGGUGUCACACCUAACGGAUUAAGCAUUCCGCCUGGGGAGUACGGUCGCAAGAUUAAACUCAAGGAAUUGACGGGG
RNAcentral lists this ribosomal RNA (861 nucleotides) under uncultured bacterium. Its description in RNAcentral is "bacterial SSU rRNA". It matches the Rfam family "Bacterial small subunit ribosomal RNA", at positions 8 to 918 of the family's 1533-position model. The record is from RNAcentral.